CUCACAAUGUUUGAGCUUCAGUCAGUCAGCCCUUUUUGACCUGCUGCUAAGAGGAAGGAAGACAGCUCCUGUGUGGACUCAGAAGACGCAACUGAGCAAAUUGUCAUUCACGGACUCUAUUAUUUUGGAGAACAGUUUUCUGGCAUCCGCCGUCAUGGUGCUUUCCCUGUCUCACCAUGAUCGAGCUGUGUGACUCGACUUCCCACUGGACUUUGGAUUGUCUCCCUUGAUCCUCGACCCCCGCUUGGACACGGACCCCCUACGCCCCCCAUAGCUCCCGACUACCUGCUUGUUUCAUGGAUCUAUGAGCCUGCCCCGCCCCCUUUUUGGACCUCUUGCUCAACAUUUACGGUGACACUCAACAGUUAAUUCUUACAAAUAGUCGCACAUACCAUACACUCUCUUGGAUUUUUGUCAAACUCCAUUCUCUAGUUGAUGAUAUUGUUAUUGUUUGUGGACGAUCCGUCAUUUCCUUUGUUUGUUUUCUUGUUUUUGUAUUUACUUUCCAUAAGUGCUCUUAUUUUGGUUUCCACUUCCUGCUUGUCACGCUGACCACUGUGUUUUGUUCCUCACCUGCCAUUGAUUGCCAAUAAGUCCACGCUUGCUGCCAAUCAACAUGUGUCUGUUAUGAUUAGAUUUUUGAGUCUUUUGUGUUUUCUGUUUGUUUUGAACUCCUGGGGCGGUUUAGCUCGGUUGGUAGAGUGGCCGUGCCAGCAACUUGAGGGUUGCAGGUUCGAUUCCCGCUUCCGCCAUUCUAGUCACUGCCGUUGUGUCCUUGGGGAAGACACUUUACCCACCUGCUCCCAGUGCCACCCCCACUGGUUUGAAUGUAACUUAGAUAUUGGGUUUCACUAUGUAAAGCGCUUUCUUUGAGUCACUAGAGAAAAAGCGCUAUAUAAAUAUAAUUCACUUCACUUCGGUUCCUGUUUGUGCACCUCUCAGUUGGUUGCCAUAGUUACUUAUUAUUUUCUCCUGCCGCUUGUUCCGGACGCACACCUGUGUUUUGUAAUCACUGACAUUAUUUAAGCCUGCCUUCUCCCGUCAGUCAGUCUGGCUUCCUAGUUUGUUUUCGUACAACAACCGACGACUUCUGUUUCCUGCUAGCUUCCACGCUAGGCUCUUUAUCUUCUAGCUCCCAUGCUAGCUCUUUUAGUUGUUUGCUUUAAGUACUAUGAGCAUGUUUUUCUUUGUCAAAGUCUGAUUUAUUUUUAAUUAAAUCAUUUAU
Molecule: long non-coding RNA, 1225 nt
Organism: Nerophis ophidion (straightnose pipefish)
Lineage: Eukaryota; Metazoa; Chordata; Actinopteri; Syngnathiformes; Syngnathidae
Exons: 3
Source: RefSeq, a predicted model, not a curated record